UAGGGAAUCUUCCGCAAUGGACGAAAGUCUGACGGAGCAACGCCGCGUGAGUGAUGAAGGUUUUCGGAUCGUAAAGCUCUGUUGCCAGGGAAGAAUGCUUGGGAGAGUAACUGCUCCCAAGGUGACGGUACCUGAGAAGAAAGCCCCGGCUAACUACGUGC
This 161-nucleotide ribosomal RNA is filed under the name Paenibacillus sp. 1914_FYM(12). Its description in RNAcentral is "partial 16S ribosomal RNA". It matches the Rfam family "Bacterial small subunit ribosomal RNA", at positions 355 to 508 of the family's 1533-position model. Lineage: Bacteria; Bacillati; Bacillota; Bacilli; Caryophanales; Paenibacillaceae. The record is from RNAcentral.